UAUGUAUAACAAAACAGGUCUGUACAGUCUGUGCAGACUGUACCACCAUUUUUUGGUAUAGGUAUCCAAAUCACCCCCAAAACAUUGUAUUAUGAAAAAAUUUCAGUUUCAUAAAAUAUUAAAUACUAGCUAUAACCCGUGCCUGAAGGCACGGCCUAACAAAAAAUUAAAUUAAAAAUAAAAAAAUAUUAUAUUAUCUAAAGACAUACAUACUCAAUCAUCAAUACAUAUCCAACAACCAAAACAUCGAGCUAGUCGGAACUAAUUUCAAAAAAUUUCAGCAAAGUUUCCUUUAAAAAUAGAUAUCCAAAAAAUUCUAAACCUUUCUACAAAACUUACAAUCAUCAAUACAUAUCCAAACCACGAAAAAAAUCAUCAUUCCAUACCCAAAAAUCAUCAUAACCAUGUAUAAUUAAUUAACUUUACAAAAGACGAAACACAAAAAAUACAAAUGGGUAAAAAAUAGAUAAACAACAUGUUGCAUAAGACCCAUUACUUUAUAGCUUGCACCAAGUAUCCUUCAAUGUAUACCUAAAAAUAUUUGAAAUAUAAAAAUUAUCGAAAUAUGUGAAUCAAAAUAAAACAACUGUAAAUUCGAAACAUAAGAACCCUUACUUUACCCUGAAUUAUAAAUGACAUGUAAAAUAAAUAAUAAAUUGUUCAUAAAAAUAAAGUACAAAGCACAAAUUUCUCAUAUUCAACUUUAUUAGAGGAGACUAUUCAAAAGAUAUGUAUUGAUGAUUUAGUAUGUAUGUCUUUAGAUAAUGUAAUAUUUUUUGAUUUUUAAUUUAAUUUUUUGUUACGUCGUGCCUUCAGGCACGGGUUAUAGCUAGUAUAAGGAUAAAGAAGAUAGAAAAAAAUAAAUCUCAGAUCUUUAUACCCAAGAGCAGUUGGGCCAAGUUAGAUCAUCUGAUAAUUCCACCUUUUUAUUUGUCUACAGUGUUUGCCUUAUUCUAGCAGCUCUUUAUCAUAUUGCUUCACCUCGGUACCAAUAUCUCCAACGGAGGAGAGCCUCCUCCCUGAGACUCAAACACAAGAUUCGAGUAAAAUUGAGCACAAUGUAAAUGAGUUGAUUUUCAGUGAAGUUGAAGAUGAGAAAACCUCAAAAAUAGAUUCACUUACAGUAUCCUUUAAUUCUUAGGUAGUGCAAAAUGAUUAAACCAACUGAUUUCUACUGACCUGACCAGUAUCCUUUAAUUCUCCUUUGAAAACUUUGUCAAAUCCUCAUUCACCAAGAAAGUAAUCUGGACUGAAAAUUUUGUCAAAUUCUUCGUGGCUUGAAAUUCACCAGCUGAUUUUUAACUGUUGGAAGUUGAAUCAGAAUAAAAGGUUUGAGUUUAUUAGAUAUAAAUAUAAUAUUAAAGAAAUUGAAUAUUAAUUUACUACUGCUGGGUAUAAUAAAAAAUAACAAAUGGAUUACAAUGAAAUAGAAAUAUUUUUUCUUCCAACAAAAUGCACAUGGUUAGUAAAACUUAAUAGAGAAAUUGCACUAUGAUUCUCACAAAAUGAGCAAAAGUAUGAUUACAACUAUUAGAGAACCCCGAAAGCAUAGAAAGAACCCACAAAAAAGUACACAAUUCAUAGAACUCACAAGAAAUAAUUUCUCAAAACACUAAGACUGAACACAUCUAAAAAGUCAAGUAACAAUAAAAUGAUGACAUUAAUUGAUGACAGUCUCCAAAGUAUCAUGGAGUCUGGAACUGAAUUAUAUUUACCCCAAUCAACCUACCUCAACUGUUUGGCUUACACUUUUAGUUACCAAUUGCAACACUAUCCAUUCAAGAGGAUAGUUUAACCAGUUUCUUUCCAUAAAAUUUGUUAGUGAUGUUGGGUUAUGAGUUACCAGUGAUGUUCGUACAGUUCUGUAAUUUUCUUUCAGGUAUUAUGGAGUGUGGCUGAUUACAAGAUGUGGUGCACUAUAUAAAUCAAAGUAUGAUCUUUCGCAUUGGUACACAUAAAAAGUGAACUCCAUCACACUCCACAAAUAAACCAGAUCCUUUGAACAAAGAGACUUCUUAAACACUAUUCUACCUAACAAACGUUUUUAAUAUGUUUUACAUAGAGCUAUAGACCUCAACCACUCCAACAAUAUUCUUAUCACUACUAUGUACUUCUCAAACUAUAGGAAUUUGCAACUGAGGUACUUGAAAUAGAAAGAAAACGAAUUUUAGUGCCUUCUAAAUUAAGAGACCAAAUAGACUCAUAUGGUACCUCAUACCUGGAGGAAGGAUCUAUUUAGAAUAUUUACUAAAUGACCAUGACCAGUUCCAGUUACUUUAAAACAAAGUUGCUAGAAGCAAAAAGAGUAAAAAGGUAAAAGGACACAAUUUAAAUACACAUAAGAAGUACCUGUUUCUGAAGAUUCAGAAGAGUCAGUAUCUCUCUUCUUAAUUCAAGAUGCUCUGCGCAAACAGCUUUGGUUGGAACCUUUGGUUUCAUAUUAACCUGUAACAGGAAUAUAUGUAGUGUUUAUUACAUUUAUCGUGAUAAACUAAAGAAAAUUAUUUAGCAAAUAAAGAGUUAUAUAUAGAAACUCUACUAAAUAUAAAUCCAUAGAACUCCACUUACAUUCCUUCCCAAACCCCUCCCCCCAUUAAAAAAAGAGAGGAGGUUUCUUUGGGAUGGAACAACUACCACAGGUACAACUGAAUGAUAUUAGUUUUUUUCUGCAUAAUUAAGUUAAACAAUAAUGUACCUGAUCAAUAAGCAUAUAAGUUAUUGAUAUAUUCCCAUGGUAAUGAAGCGGAUGCAGACACUACAAAUAAAACAAAAAAAAAACUUCAUCACACGCUAAUCAAAAUUUAACCUAGCCCAUGAUACUGCAGUUUACAAUAACAAACUCAUACCAAAGAGAAAGAGAGACGAAUAAUACUGACAGGCACAUCUGCUAAAACCCUUGAUUGGAAAUUCCCAACAACAAAAAAUUUAAACUAAAACAAAAUGAAACAGGAAAAAUAAGAACACUUAAGAAAAAAAAGAUCAAUUCAUAAACACAAACCAAGCAUCAAUGCUCAAUAUUGAACCCUCUACAUANN
Molecule: long non-coding RNA, 3035 nt
Filed under: Panax ginseng (ginseng)
Lineage: Eukaryota; Viridiplantae; Streptophyta; Magnoliopsida; Apiales; Araliaceae
Description: long non-coding RNA (PGIN_LNC011225)
Source: RNAcentral